GGGGAAUAUUGGACAAUGGGCGCAAGCCUGAUCCAGCCAUGCCGCGUGAGUGAUGAAGGCCCUAGGGUUGUAAAGCUCUUUCACCCACGAGGAUAAUGACGGUAGUGGGAGAAGAAGCCCCGGCUAACUUCGUGCCAGCAGCCGCGGUAAUACGAAGGGGGCUAGCGUUGUUCGGAAUUACUGGGCGUAAAGCGCACGUAGGCGGACUUUUAAGUCAGGGGUGAAAUCCCGGGGCUCAACCUCGGAAUUGCCUUUGAUACUGGGAGUCUUGAGUCCGAGAGAGGUGAGUGGAACUCCGAGUGUAGAGGUGAAAUUCGUAGAUAUUCGGAAGAACACCAGUGGCGAAGGCGGCUCACUGGCUCGGUACUGACGCUGAGGUGCGAAAGCGUGGGGAGCAAAC
Molecule: ribosomal RNA, 400 nt
Filed under: uncultured bacterium
Lineage: Bacteria
Description: bacterial SSU rRNA
Rfam family: Bacterial small subunit ribosomal RNA
Source: RNAcentral